This is a long non-coding RNA of Anguilla rostrata (American eel), 915 nucleotides long. RefSeq lists it as uncharacterized. The record is from RefSeq and is a predicted model, not a curated record. The transcript is spliced from 3 exons. NCBI's taxonomy places the organism in Eukaryota, Metazoa, Chordata, Actinopteri, Anguilliformes, Anguillidae.
GGAUGGAUCUCGCGUACACAUUUACAUUUAGAAGCUGAGCGGAUAGUAGGCUACACACUAACCCGGAUAAGAGCUGGAGGAUUCCCUCGUACAGCAAAGGCAUGGGGGGCUGCACUUUCCGUGGAUCUCGCGGAAAAGGUUCCAUUUGACCAUCCAUCUAUACCCGCUCAUUCCUGCUCAGGCUUACGGGAGCCUAUCCCAGCAUGUAUUGGGCAAGAGAGACAAAGGGCCAGGAGCCGGAGCGAGCCGGGUCCCUGCUGGUGAAGUGUGCAGGAAUAAUGCAGCCAUCUCCACUGCUGCAUUACAACACAUGGACCUGCCUUUGUGCUGUAAAUCCAACAGAACACACACACGCACUCUCUCUCUCUCUCUCACACACACAAACACACACACACAGGCUCUGUUCAUUCUGCACCUCCAUAUCAGCACAGUGCCCAGAAGGAGGGGGACAUUCUAAACCAUUGUAAUAAUGAUGGUGAAUGAAGAGAAGACAUUAACACAGGACACUCCUCAGUACUUCUGCUGUUCCUUCAUAAGGAAGUGUUUGGUUGUUUCAUUAUGAAAUGGAUUAUAUUGUAUAUGGUGUGCUGCAGCCUCUUAGGCAGGACUCUGUAAAAAAAGAGAUUAUUAUCUAAAUGGAUCUCACCUGGAAAAAUAGUGGAUGAAUAAAAAUAAAUACGAAUGAUCAUACACAUGCAUCCUGGGGCUUUUUCCGUGCAUGUGCCUUGAUCACAGACUCAUUUUCUAAGGGUACAUAUCUGGGAUAUAACCUUAAGGAUAUAAAUAAAUCAAAACCACAUCGGGUUUUUUUAUGGCCAGACCUUGAAUACUUAGUAAUGAUUAAGGAGGGUUUCCAUAAUAACCCAUCCCAGCUGUAUAAUAACCCACCCUGGCUGUAUAAUAACCCAUCCCCAC